GUAAGUGCGGGCGCGUAGCCUCGUGAAUGCGUCGUGGGCGAGCGGGGUCGCGAGUUAUGUGCGGGAAAGGGGGUGUAGGCGGCCAAUCAGGUCCGCUAGGAAACAUCGGGGCUAAAGCUGGAGACGGCGGUGGAAACCGUUGGGCGAGAGUCCGGAAGAGGAGAGUGGAAUUCCCGGUGUAGCGGUGAAAUGCGCAGAUAUCGGGAAGAACACCCGUGGCGAAGGCGGCUCUCUGGGACGGUACUGACGCUGAGACGCGAAAGCGUGGGGAGCGAACAGGAUUAGAUACCCUGGUAGUC
RNAcentral lists this ribosomal RNA (299 nucleotides) under uncultured Campylobacter sp. Its description in RNAcentral is "partial 16S ribosomal RNA". It matches the Rfam family "Bacterial small subunit ribosomal RNA", at positions 497 to 795 of the family's 1533-position model. Lineage: Bacteria; Pseudomonadati; Campylobacterota; Epsilonproteobacteria; Campylobacterales; Campylobacteraceae. The record is from RNAcentral.